GGGGGCUUAGUUCAAUGGGAGAAUAAGUUCAAAAUCACUUAAAUAAAUUUAUGUGAUAAUUAAAAGAGCUAGGUUCGAUUCCUAGAGUCCCCA
This is a non-coding RNA of Trichomonas vaginalis G3, 93 nucleotides long. NCBI's taxonomy places the organism in Eukaryota, Parabasalia, Trichomonadida, Trichomonadidae. The record is from Rfam.